ACGGGUGAGUAAUGCCUAGGAAUCUGCCUGGUAGUGGGGGAUAACGUCCGGAAACGGGCGCUAAUACCGCAUACGUCCUACGGGAGAAAGUGGGGGAUCUUCGGACCUCACGCUAUCAGAUGAGCCUAGGUCGGAUUAGCUAGUUGGUGAGGUAAUGGCUCACCAAGGCUACGAUCCGUAACUGGUCUGAGAGGAUGAUCAGUCACACUGGAACUGAGACACGGUCCAGACUCCUACGGGAGGCAGCAGUGGGGAAUAUUGGACAAUGGGCGAAAGCCUGAUCCAGCCAUGCCGCGUGUGUGAAGAAGGUCUUCGGAUUGUAAAGCACUUUAAGUUGGGAGGAAGGGUACUUACCUAAUACGUGAGUAUUUUGACGUUACCGACAGAAUAAGCACCGGCUAACUCUGUGCCAGCAGCCGCGGUAAUACAGAGGGUGCAAGCGUUAAUCGGAAUUACUGGGCGUAAAGCGCGCGUAGGUGGUUUGUUAAGUUGGAUGUGAAAGCCCCGGGCUCAACCUGGGAACUGCAUCCAAAACUGGCAAGCUAGAGUAUGGUAGAGGGUGGUGGAAUUUCCUGUGUAGCGGUG
Molecule: ribosomal RNA, 585 nt
Filed under: Pseudomonas sp. StFRB029
Lineage: Bacteria; Pseudomonadati; Pseudomonadota; Gammaproteobacteria; Pseudomonadales; Pseudomonadaceae
Description: bacterial SSU rRNA
Rfam family: Bacterial small subunit ribosomal RNA
Source: RNAcentral